UACGUAGGGGGCAAGCGUUGUCCGGAUUCAUUGGGCGUAAAGAGCGUGUAGGCGGCCAGGUAGGUCGGUUGUGAAAACUGGAGGCUCAACCUUCAGACGUCGAUCGAAACCAUCUGGCUAGAGUCCGGGAGAGGAGAGUGGAAUUCCUGGUGUAGCGGUGAAAUGCGCAGAUAUCAGGAAGAACACCCGUGGCGAAAGCGGCUCUCUGGAACGGUACUGACGCUGAGACGCGAAAGCGUGGGGAGCGAACAGG
This 253-nucleotide ribosomal RNA is filed under the name uncultured bacterium. RNAcentral describes it as "partial 16S ribosomal RNA". It matches the Rfam family "Bacterial small subunit ribosomal RNA", at positions 524 to 776 of the family's 1533-position model. RNAcentral also lists the same sequence under 1 other name. The record is from RNAcentral.